Molecule: transfer RNA, 64 nt
Filed under: Polygraphus poligraphus
Lineage: Eukaryota; Metazoa; Arthropoda; Insecta; Coleoptera; Curculionidae
Description: tRNA-Ala
Source: RNAcentral
AGGAUAAUAGUUUCAAGAAAAACAUUUAAAUUGCAAUUAAAAAAUAUCAAAAAGAUUUAUCUUA